AAAUUUCUAUAUAAAAUAUUCAUUCCGCACAAGACAGUAAUCUUAGACUCAUCUUAUAUAUUUUUUGAAUAACGUGAAAACUCUUAUCCAUAGCGAAUUCAGAUGUAAUAGUGUCGUGGGCGAAGUAUUAGUCUGAAGAACAAUAAACUUUUUUUUUGUCAACGAAGGACAAUAAACUUAUUUCAUUAAAAAUAACAAAACAUGACAUAUAAAUAUUUUUUUUUUCAAAUUAUAGCAACAAAAAACAUAUUAAUUUUUGGACAAGUAUAACUGCUGCGAGGAAGCUGUUACUUUUGGGCAUCAGAAGCAAAGUGCAUUCAGGGUACGAGGUUAAUGUGUGGGAGGAUCAUUGGAUUCCUUCGACGCCAGCUAGGCCGGCUCGGGCCCGGGCUCCAGCAGUAAACCCAAAGAUGAUCGUAAGUAGCCUUAUCAAUCCUGCUACAAAGGAAUGGGAUGUUCGAAUACUGGAACAAUAUGUUGAUGAAGAGGAUAUCCCGAUGAUUCUGAGUUUGGCCAUAAGCCCUACUCAUCGACGGGACACAUUUUGCUGGAGUUACACGAAGAACGGACAAUAUACUGUUAAGUCGGGAUACUGGGUUGCUACAAACUUGAUGAGAGAUGAGGAGGACUUAGAAAUUCUACAACCCAGCAUUACAAAACUUCAAGCCUUUGCUUGGAAGGUGAAUGCGCCACAAAAGAUAUGCCAUCUUAUAUGGCAAUUAAUAUCCGGACAGGUGGCUGUAACAAGGAAUCUGGUACGCCGUAAUAUGCGCUGUGAUAAUUACUGCCCAAGAUGUGGGGCACCAGAAGAGACCGUUACUCAUGCUAUCUUUGAGUGCCCUCCGGCCUUACAAGCAUGGGAAUUAUCAUCAACCCCGACGAGUUCUGAAAUCUUUCUGGUACCAAGUAUUUAUGCUAAUAUGGACUAUCUUUUUUGGAGAAAGAAUAGUAUUGUGGAGCUGGAGGAUGAUAGAGAUCCUUAUCCUUGGAUAAUUUGGUAUAUCUGGAAAGCUAGGAAUGAUACACUGUUUAGAGGUAUCGACAGAGAUCCAUUAGAGCUAGUUAGGUAUGCAGAGGGAGAGUGUCAAGCUUGGUAUAAUGCAAGAGAAACUGUAUCGAAUCUGCCAAAUGCACAGAAUAAUGAAGAAACACAAGUCUUAAGCUUGAGUAAUAUUUGUAUGGUGGAUGGUUCAUGGACCUCCACGGCGCAGUUUAGUGGAAUGGGAUGGGUUUGGCAGGAUACUUUGGGGAAGAUACAGCUCAUGGGAUCAAGGAAUCUGCGGAGGAGGGAGACAUCACUACACUCGGAGCUGGAAGCGUUAAAGUGGGCAAUGGAGAGUAUGCUACAACACUCGACCUGUCAGAGGUUUGGGACGGACUGUAAGGACAUGAUUGCAAUAAUAGAGCAGCCACAAGAUUGGCCCAACUUCUCAACUGAGCUGGAAAUCAUUCAAACUCUUCGGUUAUGUUUUUCGGAUUUCAAGAUAAGCUACGUUCCAAGGACGCAGAAUGAGAUUGCGGAUUCGUUAGCUAGGAAUGCACGUUCUUUUCAUAGAUCCUUAUGUUUUAUUGGUUGUUCUAUUCCGGUCUGGCUUCCCAGACCACCUCAAGUUUGAGUAAUAGAAUAGCCGUUUCUCGUUAAAAAAAAAAAAAAAAAAACAUAUUAAUUUUUUUCAUACGACCACCACAAAUGAAAGUCGGUCCACCACACUCAUGAGUUGUGAUUCACAUCAUUAUUUUAUUUAAAAACGAGAAAUAUUGAUAGAUCAAUAACCAUA
This 1778-nucleotide long non-coding RNA is filed under the name Brassica napus (rape). RNAcentral describes it as "long non-coding RNA (BNAP_LNC005261)". The record is from RNAcentral. Lineage: Eukaryota; Viridiplantae; Streptophyta; Magnoliopsida; Brassicales; Brassicaceae.